UGUCAAAGAUGUUCUAUUCCGUGGUUUGGGGGUGACUUUUAACAUCUAUCAAGCUGAAGACUGGCCCUCUUUAUUGCAAAUAUAGAGAGUCUUUAGCUGUGUUUUUUGUUGUUGUGUUUGUUUGUUUGUUUCUUUGUUUUUGAGCAGAUGCCUGCUCCUGGGCAGGAUGGGCUCACAUUUUCAGAGUGAGGAGUUUGUACAAGCUCUCGCUGGAUUUUAGCCCUGUUAGUUUCGGUGUAUUCCAGAGAGCAAGGCCUAGUUUCUUUUGCUAACAUGCUUUCUGCCACUCACCCCGUUCUUGUGAUCUUCUUAGUCAUCAGAGGGACCAACGGAGACUCAGUGAACCAGACAGAAGUCCCAGUGGUUCUUCCAGAGGAGGCACCUAUGACUCUGAACUGCGCUUAUGAGACCCUUGAUUCAGCUCCCUAUCUUUUCUGGUACGUCCAGUAUCCCAACAGAGCUCCUCAACUCCUCCUGAAGGGGUCAACUGCAAACCCGAGGCCCAAGGAGCAAGGUUUCCAGGCCACUCUGGUUAAGAGUGACAAGACCUUCCACCUGCAGAAACGCUCAGUGCAAACAUCAGACUCGGCUGUGUACUACUGCGCCCUGAGUGACACAGUGAGAGGGGCUGCAGGGGGAGCCGAGCACAAACCCAGAGGGCACAGGUGGGGACUGGCUGUGGGCUGCCCUGGGAGGGGGGGGUUCUUCUCUGUCUCUGCUCUGGCAUGCUGGAGGCAUCCUCAGGAUAUUUCCAGCUCUGAUGCUCAGAGCCAGGAUCCUUGGAAUUCUUGGAUUGCUGGACAGAGAGGAAUCUAGGCCAGGGCAGUUUAAGAGGAACCUAAGAGCUCGUCUCAGAAAUGCCUUUCU
Molecule: non-coding RNA, 867 nt
Organism: Sus scrofa (pig)
Lineage: Eukaryota; Metazoa; Chordata; Mammalia; Artiodactyla; Suidae
Source: the annotation of a RefSeq genome assembly